This 529-nucleotide long non-coding RNA is filed under the name Brachypodium distachyon (stiff brome). Its description in RNAcentral is "long non-coding RNA (BDIS_LNC000628)". The record is from RNAcentral. Lineage: Eukaryota; Viridiplantae; Streptophyta; Magnoliopsida; Poales; Poaceae.
GGAUUAAUGAUGUAUUUUACUCUUUUAUUUAUUAUUAGAAUCAAUUUGACUCAUCAUUCUUAAAUGAACUUUUACGCCCCCACACCCCAAACACACAAACCACCCUACUCUUUUUUCUGCACUUUGAAACGUUCCGCAACUGACUUGAGGAGAAACAGAGCCAUACGGGGGCGCAGUGUCAUUUUCUCAUUCUCCUCCAUGUGCGUGUGUUUAGUACCUUGGACUUUGGUACUCAACUUGUAUGUCCAAAUCUAAAAUGAAAAGGUACCUUGAACUUUGGUACACACUUGUCUUCAUUGAAAACUCACUUUGGACCCUAUGGUGAUUUGGAAUAUGGUUGGACCAUGUUGUCAGCACGCACACAAGGUACUCCCUCCAUUCUUAUUAUAGCUCAUAUAACUUUGUGUAGUACUUCUUUUUUUUUCUUUUGUGGGGAAAGUUUGUGUACUUCAACCAAAACAAAUCCUUGUGUUUUAGUACUUAGUCAUUCCUAUUAGCUUAGAAGUAAUGAGUGUGAAUAGUUAUAGGC